UUGGAGGGCAAGUCUGGUGCCAGCAGCCGCGGUAAUUCCAGCUCCAAUAGCGUAUAUUAAAGUUGUUGCAGUUAAAAAGCUCGUAGUUGAAUUUCGGGAUUUAUCCGUCGGCCGGGCUUUUGGGUCUGUACUGGCGUGAUGGAUUCCUACCUUCUGAAUAACCGGCAUGUCAUUAAUUUGGUGCGCCGGGGAAGCAGGACUGUUACCUUGAAAAAAUUAGAGUGCUUAAAGCAGGCUUAUGCCUGAAUACAUUAGCAUGGAAUAAUGAAAUAGGACGGCAUGGUUCUAUUUUGUUGGUUUCUAGGAUCACCGUAAUGAUUAAUAGGGAUAGUUGGGGGCAUUAGUAUUUAAUUGUCAGAGGUGAAAUUCUUGGAUUUAUUAAAGACUAACUUCUGCGAAAGCAUUUGCCAAGGAUGUUUUCAUUAAUCAAGAACGAAAGUUAGGGGAUCGAAGACGAUCAGAUACCGUCGUAGUCUUAACCAUAAACUAUGCCGACUAGGGAUCGGACGAUGUUAAUUUUUUAAUGACUCGUUCGGCGCCUUACAGACCUGGA
This 553-nucleotide ribosomal RNA is filed under the name uncultured Acaulospora. RNAcentral's name for it is "SSU rRNA". It matches the Rfam family "Eukaryotic small subunit ribosomal RNA", at positions 548 to 1102 of the family's 1831-position model. The record is from RNAcentral. Lineage: Eukaryota; Fungi; Glomeromycota; Glomeromycetes; Diversisporales; Acaulosporaceae.